AACAAAACCACAGUGGAUGGCCUUGUAAAUGUGGAAAUGUAGAAAAGCAGACAGUUACAAGAAGAGGAAAAAACACAUUUCUGAAAGGAAGUUGGAAAAAGAUAAUCUCUAAGUUUAAAGGCAAUCUCUAAGUGAAAAGGUUCAAAGACAUCUCCAUCUAACCUGAACAUCCACUUGGUAAGAAAUGGAUUCAUUUAGAGAGACACCCAUUUUAUACACAGAGUGUGGUCCAUUUCAAAAGAUGAGAAUGGCCCUGGGAGAAACACACUCCACAGACAGAUAUGGGUCAUCUCAGAAGAGCUUCACAACCCAGUUAAUCACGAUGGUGUGAUCA
Long non-coding RNA from Capra hircus (goat), 334 nucleotides. RefSeq lists it as uncharacterized. The transcript is spliced from 3 exons. The record is from RefSeq and is a predicted model, not a curated record. NCBI's taxonomy places the organism in Eukaryota, Metazoa, Chordata, Mammalia, Artiodactyla, Bovidae.